GAACGCUGGUAUUUAUUAUUAUUAUUAUUGCCAGAAAUGCUCACUGAUAUCGGCUCUAUUCAAGUUUGCCUUUGCUCGCCUCGAUGAAAACGCAUAAACUUUCCAUCACGGGCUGGUGAAGGUUACCAUCAUGCAGCCUGGGCUCCAUUUGGGUCAAAUAUCCUCCAAAAUGUAACGCCUUUAAGUUGCCUCGACGUGUUAACAAUAACAUGUCUUCUUCUUUCCUUUUUUAAUUUAAAGAGACAGCAAUGUUUAUUCAACGUCUGCUGCAGCGUUUCUUCGACACCGACCAUGUUUUAGGCUAUUUGAACAUCGGGUGCUUUAGUGGUGCUGGUUGUAGCAGUGAAGGGGGAUUGCUUCGCUUAUUUUGGCCGGUUUAAACCCGUGAUUUUGUGCAUAGCAUGCUUCGGCUGUGCUACAAGGCCCCUAAAAGGUUUUAAAUUAAAAGACUUGGCAAACAGUUUCCCAGAAUACGCUUUUGUUCGCUAGCCGUUUCUUGCUACUCAGAGUCGUGAAGACGAGCCUGUCGGCCAUGGCUCGGCUAUUGCGACUUCAUUUCGUCCCAUGCUGAGCAUUUCGGAAUAUAUGGCUUACUAUAACCCGUCCUCAUGCUCGAGUCUAUGGGUGGCUAAGUGUUACAGUCCUGGCGCAGGGUGUAUAUAUAUAUAUCUGUGUGUGUGUGUGUGUGUGUGUGUUUUUGGCGUGGGGCUGACAAACCGACAUGUUUCGCGGACUGUUGUGGCUCUUUAAUUUUCUCCGUGCAGCAGGAAAAAGGGGUCAUGCGAUUAGGCAUUUUCAUUCAAUUUCCACCUCUCGAAACGCUGCGGGCACACUCCUGGGUUUGUUUGUUUGCUACACGCCUGCCCUCGGCUUUUACCGCCGUUGUACAAGUCAAGUCCAGCGCCGGUGUCAGCGAUUUUGGCAGGUCUUCGUGUGACCUCUGAGAAGGAGCAGAUAUUGCAGCAGCUCGCUGAGGGUAUAACUCCAUUCUUUCUCUCUCUCUCUCUCUCUCUCUCUCUCUCUCUCUCUCUCUCUCUCUCUCUCCUUUGCUAUACUACGGGAGGUGUUGGGAGGGGGGGGCGAUAGCUAACUAGCCUUUAGGUCCUCCUCGGCUGCUUAAUUCGGUUUAACGCGACACUACUUGGUGGACAUGUUUGAGACAAGUGUUUCUAAGCGGUUCCAUCUUUUUAAAGAGACUGUGUUCAGUCGCAUUGCAGAGGUUCAUGUAUGAAGCGACCAUUUUCUCCCUCUCUCUCUCUGUGUGUCCCUGCAAGUAACACUGGUGAAUUUUGUAGAGGAGGAAGGGGCUGUGAAACCAGGAGCUAGUCCAGCUCGGCCCUGGCUUUAAUUACAGUCUCGCUAUAGCGGUCCAUCUGCGUGACCUAAACAAAGACGUUAAUCUCGCAGUGUGCUUGUACUUUAGCCACCAUCAUUUAUUUAUUUUUAAAUUAUGACUGCCCCCCCCCCCCCAAAAAAAAAUAAUAAAAUAUAUAUAUAUAUAUACUUUAUUUUUUUUGCACUUCGUUGAUGUAUAGAUUGUUGCUGUGCGCCCACCGGACACAUUGUUGCCUUUAUUUGCACGAGGCACGAGGCAUCUCACGUGCGCUAAUGCUCGACUGACUGAAGUCUGCAGAGCUAAACACACCCCCCUCCCUCCAAAACCCAUCCUCACUUAAACGCCAAGUGGACUACACCUAUAAAAGUGUGCACUUCUUCUAUAAUUUAUUUUUAUUUAUUUAUUUUUGGAGCAGGGUGCGUUCAAAAUCAUAGUCUCAAAAAGUGUUGCAAAUGGCCAAACCGAGCAACAGGUCUGUGUGAACAAUUGGGGGGUCUGCGUCCGUGCAGUUGCUCGUGAGCUUUUUGUUUGCCCCGCAACAAGUGCAGAGAAUUAUUAAGGACACUUUGGUUGCUUGGUUUUUGUUUAUUAUUUUUUUUAGGGUAUCCCCUUGUGUCCUAUGAAUAAGUGUUGGAAAAGUAGGGCAUUACGUCACUGACCCAUCACUGAUAAAUUAUUGUUGCUGGCAUCAACAUUGCUGGAAAGCAACAUAAAGGAGAGUCAUCUUUAGCAAAGACUCAAUAAGUGCCGGUUAUUCAUUGCAGCUCAGGCUUUUUUUUUUUUGGAACUUCACUACUACGUGAAUAUUACAGAAAUAAAGUGCUCUUUGUCCCCAUGGUGAAAAUAUGAUUAUUAUUAUAUCAAUUAUCUUCAGCCAUGAUGGUGAUCUUUCUGACACAAUCUUCCUCUGAGCGUGACCGGAUAGUUUCAGUUACAUUGAUGUUAACUGACCAUAAAUUCUGCUGUGCGUGUGUGUGCGCGUGUGUGCACGUUUGUGCUGUAAUAGUGGGAUGAGUGUUGCAAAGAUGACACGUUUUUGAUCGGAUCCGCUUAUGUGUAAGCUUCUCCCUGAACUGAGGAAACAGGAUGUGCUGUAGAAAUUAUGACUAACUGAUAUAAAAGUCCCCAUCUAAAAUUGAGGCAUUGCAUUGUGGCCAGCCAGUUUCAGGCUUUCUAAAACUGGAAGGGUUUUAAAAAAAAUAAAUUAAUUAAUAAAUUUAGCCUUUUAAUAACUCGUUGUAGUAUUAGCUCUGGUGACAAAGCAUCUGGACUUUGGGAUGGGGGCUGCUUGACUGCAGGAUGCACAUCCCAGUGCUAUGUGUGUUUUUGUGUGCAUGUGUCUCACAUCUGUCAUGUGUUUUCUGCAGCUGCAGUCAAUGCAUAAUGUUUGGCCCGAACCAAACUAGGCCCCCAAACGCAUUUACAAAAACCUGGAGGAGUCCAGCUCGUCAAGGCCCAGCUCCCCCCCAAUGCUUUGAGACAGGACUCUUGGCCCCUUAGUGAGCCACCCCUCCCCCGGUAAUUAGCGUAAGACAAUUAUACAUGCUUGGCUUAACCAUUUCCCCCUGAAACAUGAGCGCGGGUUGCCACCCUUGCCUUCUGCACCCGAUGAACGCCCGCUGUCUGCGAAUGACACUGAAAAUUCAACGGUCACAAACGAUUUCAAAAUAGUGAAGUGAGCGAGUUCUUUUGGGGAAAAAAAGCAAAACGAAACAAUGCAGGGCGAUCAUCAUUUCCCACAGGGAUUGCAAACGCCAGUGUUGAGAGAACAAAUCCAGAGGACAAGCUCACCGGUCUCCUGCUUUCAUGUCAGCGAAGAAAAUCUAUUUUUGUAGGUUUAUUUUCUUAUUUGUUGGCGCCUUCUUGAGCCAGGGGUCAGCUCUGUGUAAUGGCUGAGGUAUCACUAAUGUGUGGCAGACUUGUCCUGUCUAACGAAACAUGACGCACUGUGUUGGUGUGUGUGUGAGUGUUGUAAGCGAGAGUAGCUGCUCAGUGCAGUCAGGCCAUUUUGUGCAGAGUCUGCUCUUCCUGUAGGCCCCAGCAGGGGCUAGGCCUCUGAUUCAAAGUGUGUGUGUGUGUGUGUGUGUGUGUGGGACAAGCACAGCUGCUGCAGGGGCCUUUACAAAUGUAAAGAGGCUGUCAGUGUUUGUUUCAUCAGGCGCACAACUGAUGAGGGCCAAGUUGAAAAUCCAUUGCACUGUGAGUGUGUGCGUCGAGCACGCACAAAAAGAGGAAACAAAAAUAGAGAGCAUGGCAAGAAUAGGGGAGUGCAAAGGCACAGACUCUCCCUCCUCCUUCCUCUCUUUAUCCCCCCCCCAGUCUUUCGGCCUCGCUCUCUCUCUCUCUCUCGUUCUUGAGCUGUCCAAAUGAAAUGUGGGCCUCAUGUAGGACCAUGAAGAGAGGGUCACAGGGUUGUUUUUUCACCGUGCCUGAGCCUCAGUGCGGUUCAUUUAACCUUAUGUUUCAAUGCAAAUUCUCCUUUCAUGAGCUCUCUUCUCCUCACGUGUGCAACAUGGCAGGGUUCACUUUCCAACCUCUCUGUCACUAUGACUACGGGGGCAAAAGCAAAGUGUACCGUGGCAAGAGCGACAUUUUACUGCCUGUUUAUUUUACUGUUUACUACAGUUGAGUUCCACGCAACCGCUUCUGUGAAGGUGCUUCCCAUAUAUUUUCCACGAACGUGAGGACGGGGGGGUAAGGUGAGGAUUGAAAUGGCAGCAUUUUGGGUGGGAUCGAAUGAAAAGCAAUGGAGGGGGGUUCUUUUAAUCUGAAACUAUCAUUACUCUCCUUUAUUGUAUUGUUUUGUUUUUACAUUCACCGAUAGGGGGGCAAAAUAAAACCUGGACCUGCUUUUAUUGCAUUGCCAGGUUGUAACAGCAUGGCAUAAAAGCAACUGCCAGCAAAAUAUAAAAGUCCUCAUGGAGAUUACUGGCAGUUUGCACACAGUGCAAAAUGAAGGAAACAAAAUCGCGAUUUUAUGUGCUGCUUGCACUGCGCAGAGAAAUCAAAGCCUAAAAAAAACCCAUACAAAACACAGCCAUAUGUAUCAAGAGCUGAAGUUGGCAGGUAUGUGAACAUCACCAGGCGUUAGUUAAUGUGUCCCCAUGCAAACAGUUGUGUGUUGAAGCAGAAGAGAAGAAGCAGCCUUCCCACACUGCAGGCCCAGCCUCACAUCCCUUUGGCCUCAUCCUUCCUCUCACAGGGCCUGCUAACUUGACAAGCGCUGCCAGAAAGAUCUCUGGGAGUGAAGUUGGCUAGCCCAGCCUCAUUUUAAUCCAAUCUUCUUCGUUCCUUUAGAUUUUUUUUUUUUUUUUUUUAAUGUACGUAUUUAUUAGGUUUGCACUUUAAAUGAGAAGGCAGUGUGGCUUUUAUGCUUAAAUGAAGUCUGCUUUGCCAGUGGAGAGUUUACGGCAUCAUUACAAGCGUUCUGUGAGUUGCCGGCUUCAAUUUGGAUCGGCGAAAGGUGUUCAGCGGCCUUCUAAUGCCAAGGUAGCUCGGCUACUUCCUCUAACAUAAACCCCUUCGUACCCAUUACCUCCCUCUGCCUUCGCUCCCCUUCUUCCCUGCAUCCCUUUCCUACUCCAUUAUGUCACAGGCGCGCAAAGCACAAACUCCUGUUAUGCAACACGACCUUUUCUCUUAUCAGCUGUUGGCACCGAGCACAAUCUCCGGCUCUUUGCUGGCACUGAUGCACGCACUCACAGACACGCACAGGCAAAGGUCUUUAGGUGUACACCUGCAGUCAGUAGGUGAGAUAAACUGGUUUUAAAACCAACCUCGACGCGUUUCGUGGGUAUCAGCGGCUCGAGCUAUUUGCAAGAGCAGUGAAAUAAAACUGGGUGUGACGCUCUUUGUUAUACGUGUGUGUGUGUGUGUGUGUGUGUGUGUGUGACGUACACCACUUGCGUUCCCUCUGUGUGCAUCUACAUUUGAGUGAUUUAUUUCCUCCUGCCCCUCUAGGUUUGGAUGGAGAUUUUGGGGAGGGGAGUGUGAGACAGCUGGUCAGCCCCCGUGUGUGUGUGUGUGUGUGUGUGUGUGUGUGUGUGUUUGCCACAGCUUAUCCGUUCAGGAUCCCCGUGAAGCUGAAUCAACACUUUAGCUUUGUCUUUGGUUUGGCCUUGGCCAUAAGAAGGCCAGCGAAGGACAUUCAUCCACAGUAGGAUGUAAAUUAUUAUCGGUCAUGAUAUCAUCCUCCGAGCUCUGUCAGGUGCCUUCUUUUCACAUUACCUACGGUUGCUUUUGUUUCCAGCGCAGCCUUUUUAAUCUAUGCUCUCUGGAAUCACCGAGCCGCUGUCGCUCGCACCGGCAUUAGCUUUUAAUGACCAUCGUGCGCGCCUCUUGACCGAUCUGCGCUCACCUUCUCCCCGCUUUUCAUCUCGACCGCAUCAGUUUAAUAAACACUCCUCACAUUUUCAUCCCGUGGUCAAUCCCAUCUGAUCCCCUGUUGUGACUCCCGUCGCCUUUUUAAACAUCCAGUGAAUUACGCCUCAGGGGAGGAUGAAGCAACAAGAGCAGAGGCUCAGUCACUAUCGAUCCUCCGUUCCUCCCCUUAGCUUUCUGCCUGGAAUAUCACAGUUUCUCUCGUCGCCCGCACGGCCGCGCGCACGACUUCACGAAAUAUCUCGGCCGAGCCGGUUCAGAUGAGGAAAUCCCUGGGCUUCCUUUUUGAAUGCAGACGUAUCGUGUUUUCUGUAAAGAUAGCUAGUUGCACAGUGUCAUCAGAUACCGCUCCGGGAAUCCUGUUCACGCUUACCAUGAAGUGUACAUUCAUAGCUGUUCUUGUUAUGCGUUUACAGUCUCGCAAGCUUUCUGCUAAGCACAGUAAUCUAUGAAUCACUCUUUUAUGAUAGAUGGAGCAGCUUGUCUCUUUCUGCUAACAAGCCACUGGUCACUCUAUUUAGACCCCUCUUUGGCACGGUGCUCACUUGGCUUACACAUUGCUCUCUCAUUAAAUCUUUUUUCCCCUCACUCCAGUGUUUUUUUUGUUUUUUGUUUUUAAUUUAAUUUUUUUUUUUUAAGUUACAUUUAUUCCUUUUAUCCCCAUUGUAGCCAUUUGUAGCUCUCAAACGUGCAUGGGUCGGUGACCUUCCCUCAGUUAAAGAGCACUCAAAUAUAACCCUUUUAUUUAUUUAUUUUAAAUAACCAAGCAUUUGGCCUCUCAUGAGGGGGAGGCCUUAAUUCAGGAUGGCAGAUCCCUCCCCUCCUAGUCAUGUGGCGUAAUGAGCCAUUGGAGCAGAGUGGCUGGGUGGCCAGUGUUGCUGCUUAAUCUCUAUUUUUAAGCUCUUGCAGAAUUUUUUUUUAACGGGGGUUUACUGGGGUGUGGGGGGGAAUAUGUAGAGACAGAACAGAGAGUCUAAAUCUUGACUUGAUCUUUAGAGCAAAAUGUCUGCUCACAGAAGAGGUGUUAACUGCAUCUGGCCCUCUUCUUGCAACAGUUCAAACAGUAUGUAGAGGAGUGGAGCCGAACAUGUUUCUGUGCUGAAACGCGGUCUUUGGGGAGGGGAGGGGUCCGUGUUGUGGCUCCUGCUCCUGAGCUGUCGGAUGUGCCCGGUUCCCUUGUCAGCGCGGAUGUGCGAGAACAGGAGGGAUGAGGAAGGUAGCGGCAGGAUAAACUUGAUUUGCAGGUGAAAUGCUCAUUCUUCCUCAGUGCGUCCUUCCUGCACCCACAUUCUCUUACAAAAAAACAUCACAUUAUCCCUGCUCCCGGCUCCCAUCAUGUCUUAUAAUGGAAUACAGAGUGGAAUUUUUGAAUCUGUUCCACUUCGAUCUCUCACCCUCCUCCCUCUCAGCUCAUUUGCUCGAUUACUCAGCACAGCUUUGGAGAUAGAGAGGCAUCGGGGAGUUUUCUGUUAAGACACCGAGGACAAGGAGAAUAAGGAAGGGGACACUUUCUCUUUUUUUUUUUGUUUUCUCCACGCCUAGCUGUGAAAUUGCAGAGGAGCUGCAGAGGAGGAGCCCGUGCAUUGUUGGAAUCUGUUUCCUUGUCGUGUGUGUGUGUGUGUGUGUGUUGCGCGUGUUGCAUAUGAGAAUAAUUUGUUAGAAAGGCCAGACUUCUCAGCGACACGUUUAGGUUGUUGGUAGUUUCGGAGCUCUUCCUCUUACAUCUUGCAUUCCUCCAUCUGCUUUGUUUUGAUUUGCACUGCCAAAGAAAACUUCGCAGUCUUCUUACAGUUUGAUACGACACAUCUGUGUGAGCGCCCAGCCCGACACACACGCAGCGCUCAAACAUACACGCACGAGGGCAUGUAGCAUGUAGUCCGAGCCUCCGGGGGUUGUGAUGCCACAGUUGGUAAAUCUUUCACAUUUUUUUUUAUUUUAUUAAAUAGUCACAUGAAUCUUUUUUUUUUUCUAUUCCCACAAAUGGAAAACAUGUUUAAGAAGGGUAUGAAUAGAUAAGUUGGUGAAGUAAUAUCGACUUUUCUUUCCUUUCUUUUGCCCAUUUAUUUUUUUUUUUUUUCCUUCUCUCUAAGGUGCUUUUUAAGGCUUUCCACAGAGGGAAGCAGAAUGUGAGUCAAAGGCAUUGUUCCCCCUGUUUUAACCUCUGCUCAAUAGAUGAGGGCUUUUACAAUUCUCGUAGCUGCAUGAUUUCCUCCAGGCCGCGCAGCAGGGAGCUAUAGUGCAUGGUACACUGAGGAGAGGGCGCCAGACUCUGGGCUGAAUGUCUGGCCGGCCUCCCCCUGGCCCUGGAUCAAACGUUACAAGGCCCGGGGGAGGGAGGGAGGGAGAGAAGUGAGAGAAGUGGGCUCUGGAAUGUGCAACCUGUGAUCGUCAGAGAGAAGAAAUCCAGGAGGAUAACAAUAAUCAAAUUAGGCACCAUUUCAAGUAGAAUAUCCAUGGUGAUCUUGGUUAAAGGCAAGGCCUGCUCCUUCAGACUGAAGCUCUUUGCUGAUGUAAACCUCUGUUUGUUGUGUGUGUGUGUGUGUGUGUGUGUGUGUGUGUGUGUGUGUGAGUGUGUCUAUUUAAAAGAUGUAAUUGUUUGAGGAUGUGGAAAGGAAAUGAGGUAACUGAGCCAGAUUGUCACAGAUGCAGAAUGACGACUUUCACACACUGUAAUGAGUAAUGUAGAAACAAAUUCUGGAUAAACAUUAAUGACAAGCCAAAGAGCAGGAGGUUAACCCCCCCCUCCCCCUUGGCUAUGCGUGUGAUGUGUAGCUUUACGUGCACGAAAGGUGGGGACUUGAACCUCCCACCCCCGGCUUAUAGAAAGUGACACGCAGACACUAUUUCUGAGCAAACGACUUCUUGUUUUUUGUUUUUUUUUUCUCUUUAGGUUGUUGUUAAAGCAUCAGGAUCGCGGCUGCAUUCUGGGGAAGUUACUCGAUUUGUCUUGCAGUGAUAUGAGUAAUCAAUUUUUUUGUGAAACUGAGAACAUGUAGUUGAGAAGGGAAAACUUUUUUAAAAUUUUUGUUUCAACACAAGUCAGUAGAAUAGUUUUAAAAAUAGAAAUUUUAAAAUUGAGACUAAAGACUGCUGCAGAUGAAAUUGUGAGACUAUGGAGGAAAACAGAGAAAGUAGCGCAGCAGUAACCAACUCUUUCUUUAGAAUAGAAAAUGUACUUUUCGCUGUUCUGUUGUUUACUCAUCCUUUUUCUUGUAUUACACAGAUCUUAUGAUUAUAUUCCGUAAGCUGCGAUAGUCAUAGGAAACGGUUAGGCUUUCGCAAUUUCUGACAAUGCCUUAUUUCUUGACCGUAAGCCCUUUCUUUGCUUUAAACAUUAUUGACAGACACUUUCACUUUGAGCAAGCACCCCGUCAUUCAGUCACAGAAAUCAAGAGUGGAAUUUCAUGUUAGUCAUAGCGCUCGGUCACUUAUGACGAUUGUUAUUUCGUUUGCUUUAAAAAAUUCCUGUCUGGAGACCCGAGUGGUGGAGAACUGCUGCCUUAUUACAUAAUUUCACCGUUAAUCGAUAGAGUAGAUCUACUCUCUGCAGAAUAGUUUCAUUUUCCAGGAGAUGGUUUCAUUCUUCUUCUUCUUUUUCCUUGCUUUUCUCACUUCUUGAGAUUUGUAUGUGUGCAGUGUUGUAGCUGUAUUUAAAUUUGCAGCUGUCACUCCUGUCUUUAUGUGUCAAAGUUGAGUCAGAUUUCAUGCAUGGGCACCAAAACCCAACUGUAUGCCACCAAAAAUAAUAUUGUGAGUUGUGUGUGAAAUUUAAGAUUAGCCCAUGUUUGCUAUUAGUUUGAUCACCUCUAACCGGUAUUUUUGAUUGAUUUAUAUUUUUGAUGUUUUGGUUGAUUGGAGCCCAUUCAUGCCAUUUAUAAAGCCAGAGUUUGAGCCUGUAUGUUAGAGAGAAAUUGUUGACUUUUGUCUUUAAGAUGAGCUAAUAAUAAUCGUAUAGGCUGGAAAAAUUCGCUCACAAACAAAAUGGAAAUCUUGGAGGAAAAAAGAUGCAACCGGCACCAUUAAGCAUCGCCCACAAGUGAUGACACGUCUGAUGGUGAUCUACAUUUUGAGGUUCAAUGCGCUGCGCGAUCAACAGCUGAUAACAGAUUUUACAGCACUGCUGUAAUGUACGUGAGAAGCUAGCUCUUGAUCUGGAUCCGUUUGGGUUUUUCUUUUUUUAAAUACUGAGAAAUUCAGUGAUGGAUUUAUUUGAAAGGCUGACUCAGACAAGUGCAGCCAGUAACGCAGUUAUCUAAUUUAUACACGAGUACCACCCUGCCGGGUGACUCGGGAUCAAACCAGCAGCUGGUUGGAGAGCAAAAUAUCAAAAACAUCGAUAAUAAGUGUCUCUCUUUUUAAUUUCUUUUACUGGUUUACCUUUACGCUCCCUCCUCUCUGCUCAGCAUUAGAUUAAUUUUUCACUUCCUAUUCUGACUGCAGUUUGAGAUCAACUGCUCGAUGGAGUGUGAUGUAAGCAUGUGAGCGCGUCGCUCUCCUGUAGGGCGCUAGCUCAGCUGACGCCAUCUAAUAGCCCCUCAUGCAUCACCUUCGCUCUUCGUUCCCAUUGUACCGAUGCCAUUAUUCACCUCUUUCUGAAACCCCUUCUCCCUCCACACGGUUUGUCCCCUACGCCGUCUGUUCUUUCACGUUAACACACAUCUUUCUAACCUCCUCUCAGCAUUUAUACUGCAGUGUCCCUCACCUCCCCACCCCUCGCUACCACAUCCCUUUCUCUGGGCCCCUUAGGCCCCCGAAUUUGCCUUUGUGUUCGACAGUGUAGCUAGUUGAGCAAGAGUGUGUGUGUGUGUGUGUGUGUGUGUGUGUGUGUGUGUGUGUGUGUGAGAUGAGUUGCAAGGGUUUUGUCCCAAACUGAGUUGAAAAUCAUUCCUUAAUUGCCUCUUGUUGUUUUCUUUCCCCCCUGUACUCCUGAAGCCUACGCCGCAGGUCCGAAAGCAGAGGGACUCCCUCGCCUAAGCCCUGAUUUUGUUUCGUAACGUUCUCUGGCUACGCUGUAAUCUGCAGUCAUACAACUGCAGCAACAACAACAGACACACACAGCGGCUUUAAAAGGGCUUAAGAUGUUGGACACCGCAGAAUACAAAGAAAAUGGGCUUUGAUUUCGCACUUUGAGGUGUAGGUGAGAUGUAAAUGAGCUGUUGUUUUCAGUGUGAGAGCUGUUAGUUUAGCCGUCAGUAUCUUUGUUUUCUGAGUUUUGACAUUCUUGAUUUUAUUUAUUUAUUUUUUUGGGUAAAAAGUUUUGAGGCAACGUCACUUUUGUUUUUGUACUUUAACGGUCACGUGCUUUGUAUGUUAUUCCCUGCGGGAGUAAUAGAUUUGGAAAUGCACAUUAGGAAUUAAGGAGAUGUGCAUUAUGACCCACAGCUGUCCCGUCUCCAAACUCUGAAGGCCUACUUUAUUUUAUUUAUUUGUUAUAAUCAGUUAUGGCAAAGUGAUUUCUCUUUUCUGUGUGAAAGCACUGCCCGGUUCUAGAGUCUGACCUUUUUAACCCUGUGAUUGUGAAGGUGUAAGGGUAGGUUAGUUUGUGUGCGUGUUUUCCCUAAAGGCUAAAAGUGUCUUGAAAGAUUGUUUGCUUUAGCUGAAGACCAUCUUCUUUCUGUCUGAACGUUUUUCAAACUUUAAAUGGGAGCGUGAUGUGGCCCCUGAUUAAUGCGCCCGGCCCAUUUCACUUGUUUGGAGGUGCUUUUUGAGAAAUCUGGGCCCUGCAGAUCAGCUUGAUGUGCAGCAGCGUGCAUGAGUUUAAUGUAGAUAAAGCAGAAGACCUACAUUUACUGUGGCGACAGGCUUGAACCUGUGACACUGGUGUGAAGGAGCAUUUGUGUUGGUGGUUAGGCCCUGCUUUUCCUGUUAACCUUCAGAGAAGCGCUAUGGUGGCUUCCAUUAACGAUCAGCUGGCAGUCUUAUCUCCCUGCUAAUCUGCGUCAACCCUUUCCGCUCUGAAAGGGUUGACGCAGAUUUACUUUCUAAAUGUAUUUAUUAGCCCCCCCCCCCAAAAAAAAAAAAAAUCUUAAAAUGGGGCAAGGGUGCUGAAUGAUGACAGGAAAUGUUGACAUUUGGGGUUUGAACUUUUUGGUGUGUGGAAAGGCCCAAAUCGAGUUUGACUGACAUGUCGGGCUCUUUACAGGAUGAGUCUGUCGUAGUUGUUUGGACACAGGAUUUUCUUUCCUCCCCAUACCUCAACGAACUUAAAAUGAGAGGACAUGAAGCGCUGUCGUGGCUUCAGUCUGCACCACAAUUACAGACGAACAGCCAAAACGUGCUCGCAGCCCCUGAUGAUCUCCCUAAAACCAUGCCUCCCGCUCUCCCUCCCCCCCCGUCCUCCCGUCUGUCUGCCUCGCUCCCACUCCCCUUUAAUUUUUACUCCGCCGCAAUAUCCUACCUAGACCGUGAUUGUUGUUUUCUGAGAGCUGGAGCGGUGUUGUUGUAACAUAAUCAUUUAGUCUCCCUCCCGUGGUUCUGGCAAGCUGCACGCUGAAAUCCAUCCACUGCUCAUUUUUAUGGGGAGCAAAUUUGUUGUAGCUACUGUGACUGCUGCUGGCUCUCCUUCGCACUGUAUUUACCGCAGUAGAUGGAUAUCUCCCCCCGCAAAACAUUUGAGAGAUGACACAUGUUGUAUAUACACAUUUAAUAUACCCCAGAGGUCAUGCCUGUGAAUUUGAUUAGUGCGGCUGAAAUAUGAUGGUUGUGAUAUCGAGUGACUUGGCCUAUAUUGAAUUUUUAAUCUCCCGUGUCGACUCCGGCUUACGUGACGUACUCUUCGUUCUGAUCAGUGGCGUUGGAGCCGGAGCGUUUGCUGGGUGUCCCGUAGCGCCGAAUCAGCGUAGUGAAACAUGACACCUUGGGAAUUUUUCUUUUAAGUUUAACUCGAAAUUGUUUGUAUUUAUGGGAAAACGCACAAAAGUUGAGGUGUUACAAGGAUUCAUCCUCAGAAUGACAGUUUAUAGCAGAGCCCCUUUGAAAUACCGUGUGGCAUCAUGGGAAAACUCCUGUAUUCUUAGCACUUCUGUAAAGCAAGAAACUAAUCUUACCUGCUCACUCUCCUCCUAUACAAAUUAUUAAAUUAAAACACAUCACUCAUUUAGUUACUCGAGUUAUUAUCGCAUCUGCGGCGCAGACCAAAUCCCCCUGAAUACUCCCUUUUUGUGUGUGUCACAGAUGGGGGCACCUAAAGGGGGAAACCCUGAUCGAUUCGUGGGGCCCAGAGCUGCACAGGGGGGCCCUGUAACAUGACAGGGAUUAGAUAUUUAUUGUUUCAAGUGCAGAGCGAGUUGUUGACGUGAGGCCCCCCUCUGAGUUCCUAGCUGCGCUUGUGGUUGCAAAAUCGCGAGAGGUUCAAACAGCGAGAGGUUAUCGUCUCUCUCCUCUCGACGGUGGAAUAAAUCCCAUAAACAAUCCAUCUACAGUGCGGUUUAAAAACCCGAAACGACCGUGAGUCUGGAGGAUUAAACGACUCCAGCCCUCGCGGACGUGUCCACUGCUUUGACAGCGAGCUUGCAUGCGAUUUCCAUAAAUGAAGGCGUUGAUGUAUGAAUAACUUGUCAGAUGGAUUGAUUUGCGAAGGCGUCUGUCACUCACAGACGCAGUUUAUUGUGAUUCAGGUCCAACCUGACCCAUCAGAAGUUAACAGACAUUGAACGACUUGCCGAUUCUAAAUUGCUGUAGUUCACCUUUUUUUUUUUUUUUUGGAAACUGUUAUUUUGUUUGCCUCUUCUCAUGAGAGAGUACAAAGUAAAGUUAGGCUGACACCAGACUUUGCUUUCCUUAUGGGACGAAUGUUCUGCAUGACAAGGAGGUGAAUGCGUAUCCAUUUGGAGUCUGCAGUCUCCUUUCUUCUGCUUUCUCUUUGUCCCCUUUUCUGUUCUUUCGCCCUCUCCUUUAGUAUCUCUCAGGCUGGUAGGUGUUUUCAAUGCAGCUAUUGUCACUUCUCAAAGAGCGGGGGGGGGCCUCGUGAGACCCCCGUCCCCCUCCCAACAAUGGGCACAUGCUUCCCCCUCUGUGGGAUUCCCGUGUCUUGGUGUGUGUGUGUGUGUGUGUGUGUGUGUGUGUGUUGUUUGGUGUGUGAGAUGGUUGGAGGUGUGUGAUGAGGCCUUUGUGGGACUGGGAAGCACCUCUCAUCCCUCUGUCGUGUUCACCUGUUUUAGCUGCAGGUGUUAUGGCAAACUGAAGAUCAACCAUGACCGUGGAUAACCGCAACGCCGUUAAAUAAAAAUACACACAGCUGUGGGGUAAUUUUACACUUGUGUGAUUUUUAGACAGAUUUCAUGUAUAUCGAAUUUUAUCUGGAAACUACCUGAAAUUACUUUUUUUUUUUUUAAAGCUUUUUAUUAAGAAUCUCUUUUAGCACGAGCGGCCUGCCUUUUUUCAGCUGUAGCGCAAACCUUCUAACCUUUUAUCAUUUUGCUCUUUUUCAUAAAUAUGAAUAGCAGAACUGCUUUUGUUAAGGCAUGCAAGAGACCUUUACUCUGUAUUCACAGGCUGUAAUCCAUGAAUCGACUAUUAGGCUGAUUGACUGAGUUGUGGUCAAACUAUCUGCAGAAAACCCUUUAUGCUAUGAGAAUUAGUUACAUUUUCAGGUGUAAUAACAUGUAACCAACAAAAGGAUCCCAACAGAAGCCAGGAGGAGUUUUAUUAGUGCUUGAAGUGGUGCGUGUGCUCUCAUAUGCCGUGUAAAAAGAUGGAUCUAACGGCACUUCUGAUGUUUUCUCUGUCAGUUCUGGAUGAAUAUUCGGUGCAGAAAACGCAUCAAGGCCAUUUAAUUUUUUGGGGGGGGGGGUUGAAAAUUCUCUGAAUGGAGAUGCCUUGUGGGACAUCCAAAGCUGCAGUGAUGAAGAGGGGAAAAAAUCUGUCCCUGUCGUUUGAGGAUCAAGGCACAGGAUUAGAAAAUGUGAUCUCUAAAUACAAAACCUGAAAGCUGUAACAGUGGAGGCCUUAAAACUUAAAAGGUGCCUUUUGCGGCGGUGAUGAGAAAUCUUUCUCUCUCUCUUUUAAAAAAAACAAAACAAAACCUUUCUAUUCUCCUCACGUACACAAACAGACAAGAUGGCUGCUUGAGGCUGGAGCUGGCUGUUACACCUCCAGCCGACAUAGGGGGCACCUUUUUUCUUUUUUUUUUUUCUUUUUACCAUCUCUUAACCACAAGAAAAAGAAGUAGGGGGAUUGAAACAUUGGGUUAGGAGCUGCUUCUAUUCCUGAGCAUUCACACGAACAGCAGAUUUUUAUUUAUUUAUUUAUUUUUUUGGUCCUGCUGUCUUUCUGCGGAGUUUAUGUUGAGCCUGGCCAGUGUUUCCCUCUGUGCGACGGUAAAGAAGUAGGUCAGAGAAGAGAUCCCAUUCGGCUUGAGCUUAGCUGUUAGUGCUAGUGCAUGUGCAACUGCAUACAUGUGUGGGCACACGGUGUGUAAUUUGUUUCCUUCCGCCAGGAACCAGCCUGACCUCCUCCGGCUUCUGUGCGUGUGUGUGUGUGUGUGUGUGGGGCAGCGAAGCCACGGCAGAGCUCUGCUCAGCAUCGCUACAAGCAACAGAGUCAGCAGUCAUAUGCAGACUGAUAGCUGAGGCAGUGAUGAGAGGAGGCGGAGACUGGACAGGGAAAGCUCUUUUUUUUUUGCUCUUUCAAAGAUGGGGUGUUUGUUUGAGGAAUGCCGAGAGAGGGGAAAAACGGGCACUGGCACGAAAGGCAGGCAAAGAAAUGUAGAGGAAGAGGUAAAACUGGAAGGGUAAAUUAUGUCUCUCAUACUCGCUCAUUUCACAGCGCACUGCUGUUGUUAGGGGAUGGCUGAGCUGCUCCACCCCUUCCCCCCCACAAGAGCCAAUCCACUAUCAUAUUCCUCCCCAUCCUGCCAUCUGAUUGGUGGGCUCUCUGAGCCAGAGGAAUAAAAUGGGAUUGAUGGGGUAAUCUGGGGCCGGGGCUCAGGGCAGCAGUAAGGUAAGCCUAACCUGGGAAUCAGGACAAUUGUACAGGACAAGAAUGUGGCUGUGGUCGCACAACUGAGAGGAAACACAUGAACGGCUCAGAUUUAAGAGUUUAAGUCUUUAUUUUUAAAGAACACACGCCACUCAUCCUUUUAGCUCUAGUGUUUAAAGCAUAUGUGCAAGUAAUGCUUAAUUCUGAAUGUUCAUGAAAAUGGCAGCAUCUGUCAUCAGUUUCCAAACGUGAAUCUCAAAUCCUAAUGUGCCCCUGGAGUUGUGAAGGUGGGUGGUUGACUGCUACCUCAUACAAAUUUCGCUUUAAAGUAUCAAAAGAUAGACUAGGUAGCGUAAAUAACUUUUAAAAAAAAUAUAUAAAUAUAUAUUUUGUAUUGCACAACAUGGCACUGCUGAGCUACAGAGGGCUAAACAACUGACUGAUGUGAGGGCCUUGGCAGAGGAAAAGCCAUGGCUGCACCUUCUCCCCUCUGGGUAUUGUCAUGGCUCUGAAUGGCUAAUGGGAAGUGAAACCAGAGCUGGAGAUUGCUCUGUAAUGGCUUCUGAGCUAUGUCCUUGGGUAUGUUGUACACUGUACAAGAGCUGAGUUUUCUUAAGCUUUGUUUGCAUCAGGAGAAAUGCUAAAAAAAAAUGCAUUUGUUACACAUCUUUCUACUUCCAUAGGCUGGGAGGCGAUUUUUGAGGUAGCUUCUUCCUUUUAUUCUAGCGAUUUGUGAGCGCACGCAGUAAAAGUAUGCGCUAAUGACAUUCAAAGCGCACAGAUCUCUCUUGUGUGUUCUUCUUUGCUUCAGUCUCCCUAAGACACCCAAGUUGUCCAGGUGAAUGUAGAUGAGGGGAGAGAUCAGGGCGUGCUCUAAUCAAUGACCUGCCAAAUACAAUAAAAACCACUGCUUGCCUCUGGCUAGUCAAUAAGUCAUUGAUGCAGGUGUUUGGGUGAGAGACUUCAGGUCCGGAAAACUUGUGUUGUAUUUUUCCUAACUUUUCAUGAAUGAAAGUCACACUGAUGAUUAUAACGUUUAAACAAUUUACCAAAAAAUAAAUAAAAGCUGGUCAUUUUGUAGUAUUUGGAAGAAAGAUGACAAACUCAGAUUCCGCUAAUUGUGACUCUUCUUCUAACUCUAAGGUUUUCCAUUGCUGUCACCUCUGUUCAUACACCAUUCUCAUCAUAUCUGCGAUAUGCUGUUUACCCCCCGAAAGAGUGUCAAAGGCACGUCCACAUUGAGCAAAAAUCCCCGUCUUUUGGGUUACUGGGAACUGAUCAGAGAAGCUGUGUAUCAGCCUUUUUUGUUUUCUUUCUGAAAUGACAGUCACCACAAACCACACACUUUCACACCUUGAGGAGGAGAAAGUUUGUGUGUGGCGUGCCUAAGCCGUCCCAUAAGGCCCACUCCCUUCUCCCUAUAUAUACAUAUAUUUAUCUAUAUUUUAAAGCUAAAACCUGGUGGAAUUAAAGAGUGUGACUCAACGGUCCAGCACCUCUGAAUGAGCCCAGACGAUGAACAGGCCUCAAGUUAAUUAUUCAAACCAGCAGGAGAGUUGCCUGGCAUGCAAGCAUGCACAGGGUUUCCCCAGGGAUAGAGCAGGGGCCUCCUUCUCGGUCCUCCUGUUGCAGCUUCGACACGCAAACUGCUUUGAAAGAGUGAAAAAUGGUUGUCUUUUAACUUGCGUCAGGUGUUGUGAAUCUCACGAAGAGUACAAGUUUUUCUUUUUCUUUAUUUAAAUGUGAAUUUGUGAAUCUGUGUGCGCCGCCAUUAAAUGUUUACGGAGCUACUUGUAUCUCUGGUUUCAGUCUUGCAUGCAUGCAUGAAACAUUACUUUCAGAUAAUAUUUUAUUCUUAGUCAUCCGUAUACUUUCCCCUGCACCGCCACCAUUGCCUCCUCCUCCUCUUCCUCCUCAGCUGUAUUGACAGGAAGACUACCUGAUUUCAAAUGAGUUUCAUUAUUACACAACUGGCAAGAAAAGCCUCCAUCACCAAUAAACAUCAAGAGCUCAGAGAAGGGGAAAAUCUGAUUAUGUCACCACUGGUUUUCCAAAAAAUAGUCACAUCCACAAUCUAUUACGUUUGGGCCACUCACUUCUCCAACACUGCACUUGAUUGCCAGGAAAUAAGAUCCCACGUAGCUUUCUUUUUUCUUUCUCCCCCCUCAAAUGAUGCCGAGUCCUUAUGCAGGUGAAUUUACCACAGAGAGCUGUACGCAGACACACUGCUAGUAACACAAGCUGACAUUUGCCCCUUCUGUCUUUGAUCCCACUUAUCCGUGGAUUACAAAAGAAAAACGGCACCAUGCUGUGUGUCUAUACGCCGAGCCACAUCAUUACAUCUUUUAGAUGGUAAUUUCUGAGAGCUCGUGUUUGUGUAUGCAAGGCAGAGUGAGCGACGGUGUGUGUGUGUGUGUGUAGGUGUGCACAAGCUGAUGGGGGGGGGUGGUGUUUGUAUGAAACGACGGGACGCGAUGGCUCUCGGCGAACAGGUCUUCCAUCGGCUGCUCGCUUUACCUGGCGGGGUGGGGAGUGGCAGGUGCUACCUCUUCGGUGAGUGGAGGCGUGGAAAACGAGUACGGUGCAGUUAUUACAAACGUAAGCGCCUUGACACGUACUCCUCCAUUGUGAUGAGCAAAGCCGAGAUGAUGCAAAGCCACGCACUCUCACAUACUCCUCCAUUGUGAUGAGCUGUGCAGAUAGGAUGCAGAAAGCCCAGAGUCAAGCGAGUGUGUUUGUGUGAAUGCAUUCAUGUGGUAAAGUGCAUGUUUACAGUUGGAUCACACCACCCAAAUGCUACAGCUAAAAAAGUGUGAGAUCUGAGUUUGUUGGUGGUUCUACAAAAGCUUUAUUUUCUGGGGCAUUUUGGCCCCAAGUACCUACGGAAAUUGUACGCGGCAGAUUUUGAGCUUAAAGUGGCAAACUUGGGUAUUCUAGUUAUCAUAAAGGUGCUUUUCUUUUGUUUUUUUUCUUUAAAAGAGAGAGUAACAGUGGCAUGCACAGAGGAAAUGGAAAAGCUCAGAGCUGGAAAAUAACCCUUAAAACCAUGAACAAUGGAGAAAUGGCUUGAAACAUCUUGACAAGGGAAAAGAAAAUCUGAAAGAGUGGAAAAUCCUGUCAUUUUCUCCUUUAUUAGUAGUCUUGUUUCUAAACUCUCACACUAAUUGCCCGUACAGCCUACAGAAUAGUUCACCUUGUGUUAGCAUGUACAGCGGAGUCGUUCAGACGCUGCUAUCUGUUAGCCUAGCACCACGUGUGGGUGGCUGGCUGGAUCACAAAGGCUUCAGUGUGCCGGCCUCUCUUCCUACUGAGGCUUCGCACAGAGCAGUUUUGAAUCUUUCUGACAGGAUGCCAUCCUCCCCCGCGCUCUGAAGCUUUAGUGGGAAUGGGAACCCGGAUACUGGUGAUUGCAAACUUGGGGGGAACCUUAAAAAAUUUUUUUUUAAAAAUUCCCGCAUCACGCAUUAGUUGGUUUUAUGGCUAGAAAAGAUGACCUCCUGAGGUUUGUAUCGGUCUGCACAAGCGCAAAGGGAUUGAAAGUGUGGGAAAAAAAUCUUGGGAAAUUGAGGGGAGGCGGGUUUUGGGGGGGUUUACCCAAAGGCCUUCCUUUUCUUUUCUUUUUUUUCUUUUUCAUGUGCAUGUGGUUUGCGUGGCUAUCAGUCACCACAAACUCACCACUUACGCUAGAAAUGGAGGAGGGGAGGAAAGUUUUAAAAACCUUUGAUUUCAGCGACGAUUGUUUAUUGGAGUAAUGGUCCAGCUGUGACUGACAUAGCUUGUCCAAAAAAAUAAAGAGAGAGGGAGAGGACACAGGUAUGGUGUGAUAGAGGCGAGGCGAAGUUGUAGGCAAAAAGGAAGAGGAGAAAAGAUGGGGAGCAGGUGUGGAGGGAGAGCGAAUGGAAGACAAGUGGGGGAAGAACAGGGAUCAAUGGCUGUUCCCUAAAUAACGGAUGUUUGGGGCAGCAGCACUUUGGCCUGUCUUCCGCUGCGAGCAGACACUGCACAGAAGCAUUUAUCUGUGCAGGUUCACACAUGCAUUUAUACACACACACACACACACACACACACACACACACACACACACACACACACACUCCCCUGUGGCCUUUCCUGUGCUAAUUCUGCUUCUUUUCCCAGUUAUUUUGGUUAGAGACUCUGUUAGCUCCAGACUCCCAGACUACCCCAUGGCCAAUAAAUUGCCAGUGCCUCCUGGGAAUUGUGGUUUUUAAAGGGUCAUAGUCACAAUGUCCCACCCACCCCCAACCCAAUUACCUCCCAUCUCCAAGGGUGUGUAGAGUUCACCCCGAGCCUAACAACAUUACACUAAGCUCGAUGUUACAAUGCAGAUGCCAGUUUGGCAAGGAGCACAUUCAUUCAUUUGUUUCUCAUAUUUUAAAUGUUUUUCGUCGGGGUUUCUUCUCUCUGUUGUCAGGUUCCUCUGGUAAGACCGAAAUGCUUAACCUCAGGAAUCUAAGGAAUGUCCUCGCAGACCUCAGCAUCUGCGCAUAAACACACUUAAUGCCACGUCAUUCUCACUACAUCGCAUUUUUCUUGUAUUGCUUCAGGUUUCCUUCCGUUCCCUUUUUGUCAGUGUGAGAUGAACGGGGCUCGAUAGAUUAAUACUGAUUAUUUAUGCACGGGCCAGCGCGAAGGCGCUUCUCCAUGCUGACCUGUGAGGACCUCGCUUUCAGUGACCUUUUGCUUUGGGCCACAAACGGACAAAAUGAGCUUGUACACAGAGUGCACAAGUGUUUUAAGCUUUUUAUAGCAGGAUAAACGCUUUGCAAAUCAUUUUGAACUUGUUCUUCCUGCUCAGUUGAGAUGAGAACACACACACACACACACUCUCUCACACAGUGAAAUGCACAGGAGCACACAUUUGAUUGUCUUUCUGCGCUCUUGGCUCUGAAGUCGUGGCUUGAUGGAAAGUGUAGUUUGAGUGGUAGAUCUCUUUAAGUUGUCGCCGUUGUCUGAAGCCCUAAACCUGUUCUACUUCGGCGAAACGUGCUCCUCAGGUCUCAGCCUCUGGCACUUUUCCAGCUUCCGUGCGUGGGUGUGUUUUUGAUGGACGGAAAGGAGAGAGGGGAAAAACGGUUUUGAUUACAACCAGGAACGAGAAACCAGCGUUUCCUCCUCUGGAAAGGAAGAUGACAAUCAAGAGGAAAAGGGGUCAUUGCCAGGUUAAAUCAAGGAAUUUAUGCCUCCUUUUUUUUUUU
Haplochromis burtoni (Burton's mouthbrooder) is the source of this 20850-nucleotide long non-coding RNA. RefSeq lists it as uncharacterized. The record is from RefSeq and is a predicted model, not a curated record. The transcript has 2 exons. Lineage: Eukaryota; Metazoa; Chordata; Actinopteri; Cichliformes; Cichlidae.